GUAGGUGGCAAGCGUUGUCCGGAAUUAUUGGGCGUAAAGCGCGCGCAGGCGGUCCUUUAAGUCUGAUGUGAAAGCCCACGGCUCAACCGUGGAGGGUCAUUGGAAACUGGGGGACUUGAGUGCAGAAGAGAAGAGUGGAAUUCCACGUGUAGCGGUGAAAUGCGUAGAGAUGUGGAGGAACACCAGUGGCGAAGGCGACUCUUUGGUCUGUAACUGACGCUGAGGCGCGAAAGCGUGGGGAGCAAACAGGAUUAGAUACCCUGGUAGUCCACGCCGUAAACGAUGAGUGCUAAGUGUUAGAGGGUUUUCCGCCCUUUAGUGCUGCAGCAAACGCAUUAAGCACUCCGCCUGGGAGUACGGCCGCAAGGCUG
This 371-nucleotide ribosomal RNA is filed under the name uncultured organism. RNAcentral's name for it is "partial 16S ribosomal RNA". It matches the Rfam family "Bacterial small subunit ribosomal RNA", at positions 527 to 896 of the family's 1533-position model. The record is from RNAcentral.